This 124-nucleotide small RNA is filed under the name Leclercia adecarboxylata. Its description in RNAcentral is "RtT sRNA". It matches the Rfam family "RtT RNA". Rfam says of the family: This family represents a bacterial cis-regulatory element known as RtT RNA. The exact function of RtT is unknown although it is thought that it may be involved in changing the cellular response in relation to amino acid starvation. Lineage: Bacteria; Pseudomonadati; Pseudomonadota; Gammaproteobacteria; Enterobacterales; Enterobacteriaceae. The record is from RNAcentral.
UUGCUAUCUGCGAUAUGAACGAUUCGAACCUGCAGCAGGUUCGGGCCGAACGUAGUGAGGCACCGGAGCCGUAAGGCAACGGCCCGUAGGGCGAGCGGAGCGAGUCAUCCUGCACGACCCACCA